Non-coding RNA from Paramisgurnus dabryanus, 801 nucleotides. NCBI's taxonomy places the organism in Eukaryota, Metazoa, Chordata, Actinopteri, Cypriniformes, Cobitidae. The record is from RefSeq and is a predicted model, not a curated record.
GGAGAUUGACUGACAGACUGUCUACUUGCCACCAGACAGUAAUUUACCCUGAAACCUUUUUAAGUAAGGACUAACGUAAACUGACUCUCAGUCUGCUCUCAACCAGUUAUUUAAGACCUUCUAAUGCCUAGUGCAAACGUUUCCUGCGCAAGUUUGAAUCUCUCAGUCAGGGGGGAGAUUGACUGACUGACUGUCUAUUUGCCACCAAACGUCAAAAGUCAGUUACACAGAAACCUUUUAAAGUUUAGCACAAACGUUUCCCGCGCAAGUUUGGAUCUUUACCAUUGAGGGUGGCUGACUGUUCUCGACCAACCAUCAUUCACACGCAAAAACUUUAAAGAUAAGUAUGAACGUGCCCAAAGCAGUUUUCGAUCUUUACCAUUAAGGAGGCUGACUGACUAUCGUCUACCACCCGUCAUUAACACAAGAAAAACUAAAGAAAUGUUACUCCAUAUGGACCUAUUCAUUUACUCAUUAUGCUGUGAGUACACCACAGUUUUAUCAGUGAAAAAAAUUAUAUUUGUGUGUUUUCUCACUGCUUGGCAAGGACAGAUGUGGCCCUGUUAAAAAUGUUUAAAUGUCGUUUGGUUUAAGGAACAGCACACUGAUUUUGUUUUAAAAUAUUCCUGUUUGGACAGUCUGUUAAAGUCAUAAAGGAAUACUUGAUAUAUUUCAUAAGUAAAGUGUAAAUGUAAUAUUAGUUUUUAAUGUUGUGAAUUUGGACUGAACAGCACACUUCUGUUUUAUAUCUAAACCUUUUGUAAAAUAAAUGAUUGUUCAAUAAACUGUGUAUUUUAUCUU